Molecule: ribosomal RNA, 31 nt
Filed under: Phytophthora capsici
Lineage: Eukaryota; Oomycota; Peronosporomycetes; Peronosporales; Peronosporaceae
Description: partial 28S ribosomal RNA
Source: RNAcentral
UUGGACCUGAUAUCAGGCAUAGAUGCCGUCC